Molecule: long non-coding RNA, 857 nt
Filed under: Nicotiana benthamiana
Lineage: Eukaryota; Viridiplantae; Streptophyta; Magnoliopsida; Solanales; Solanaceae
Description: long non-coding RNA (NBEN_LNC037925)
Source: RNAcentral
CCAAGUUUGAUAUCCCAAGACCAAUAUUACAAACCAGCCACUGAAAUAGAGAUAUUCAAAUUAAGAAGCAUUUUAAACACCCAUUCACCACAGAAUUAACACUGGUACAAAACAAACCUACUGAUCCUAUGUCAUUUUCUGCUCACACAAUAUUCCAAAUUUAAACUUAAACUAACAUUUAAAGCAUGGCAGCAGAACUUGAAAACACUUAAUAUGUAUUGCUAAAAUUAACCUAUACUACAGCUAACACUACCGAAUGAGUUCAACAGUCCAUAUACAAUCUCUCGAGUAUUCAAUCAAACUAACAAGCUACGAGUUUCCAACAAAAUGAAGUAGCAACAUGAAUUCCAACAAUACUACUACUAUGAACGAGCUAAGGUACAUACCCUUACACUACAUUACUAACUUCAGAAAUUUUUAAGUAGAUGAUUGACAUUGACAUUUAAAAGGAAAACAGCCAUUCAUUUAUGUAUCUUCAAACAAUUUCACCUUUCCUAUUCUUCAUCUCAUCCCUUAGAGAAUCAAGGAAUACCUGAAAAUUGAACAGAGAAAAUGAAAAGAAGUAAGAGAAGUAAGACAACAAGCACGAAUUGGCAGCAAUCAACAAUAGGAAAUAUGCCAGCAAAACAGGUUUAAAACCAAAAUAGUGUUUAAUCAGUCUACCAAAAAUAAUUUAACUUGAAUGCAAACCCAAAUCUUUGAAAUCAAACCUUAGAGCCAACUUCAAUCCAUUUUCUAAGCCUUAAUGAACCAGAAAAUGCUUCAGAAUUAGAGAAGCUUCAAGAAAUAAGAGCAGAAGCAAUGGAACAAUAUUUUCUAGAAAUUUUAGCCACCUAGAACUUUUCAGAAUUUUCAAC